RNAcentral lists this ribosomal RNA (523 nucleotides) under uncultured bacterium. Its description in RNAcentral is "partial 16S ribosomal RNA". It matches the Rfam family "Bacterial small subunit ribosomal RNA", at positions 28 to 523 of the family's 1533-position model. The record is from RNAcentral.
GACGAACGCUGGCGGCGUGCCUAAUACAUGCAAGUCGAGCGCAGGAAACUGACGGAACUCUUCGGAGGGAAGGCAGUGGAAUGAGCGGCGGACGGGUGAGUAACACGUAAGGAACCUGCCUCAAGGAUUGGGAUAACUCCGAGAAAUCGGAGCUAAUACCGGAUAGUUCAUCGGACCGCAUGGUCCGUUGAUGAAAGGCGCUCCGGCGUCACCUUGAGAUGGCCUUGCGGUGCAUUAGCUAGUUGGUGGGGUAACGGCCCACCAAGGCGACGAUGCAUAGCCGACCUGAGAGGGUGAUCGGCCACACUGGCACUGAGAUACGGGCCAGACUCCUACGGGAGGCAGCAGUGGGGAAUUUUGGGCAAUGGGCGAAAGCCUGACCCAGCAACGCCGCGUGAAGGACGAAAUCCCUCCGGGAUGUAAACUUCGAAAGUCAGGAAAGAAAUCGGUCAGGAUAAUACCCUGACCGGAUGACGGUACCUGACGUAAGCCCCGGCUAACUACGUGCCAGCAGCCGCAGUAA